CCUGGCGGCCUUAGCGCGGUGGUCCCACCUGACCCCAUGCCGAACUCAGAAGUGAAACGCCGUAGCGCCGAUGGUAGUGGGGUCUCCCAUGCGAGAGAGUAGGGAACUGCCAGGC
Molecule: ribosomal RNA, 115 nt
Filed under: Escherichia coli
Lineage: Bacteria; Pseudomonadati; Pseudomonadota; Gammaproteobacteria; Enterobacterales; Enterobacteriaceae
Source: RNAcentral